GACUGGUAUAUUUGAGAUUUUGAAGUUGUUACCAUGGCAAAACCUAGUCCCAUGAGCUAAGAUCCAGGUAGGCAGGGAUUUUGCCUUUUGACUUGAAAUGUCUGUAACAUCUAACACAGGGCCUCACAUGUGACAGCAAUGCAGAAAUUAUCUGUGGAAUUAAAUUUAACCCAACCACAUCCAGGGUCAAAGGAAAAGUCAGGAACAUCAGUAAGUAGCACUCUGGAGUUAGGCAACCACUUCUCAGCUUCAUGAUUGGGUAAGUGACCACUCCUGAGGCUUCAGCCUCCUUUACAGUGUUCUUGUAAGUGUGACAUGAGAUACUGUAUAUGCACAACAGAUGACCAAUAAAUGUUACCUGUUAUUACUUUUGUUAUUAUGCUCAGUCUUCAGUUCUAAAGUGCUAUUUAUUGCUACUUAACUACAGUGCUAUACAAAGAAGAAAUAUAUAGAAAUCAAGUAACCAGAGUCCCACGGAAUAGGACAAAAAGACCCAGCAGCACUGCAGCACCUCACACCAAGGCGUGCUGAGAACCAAUGCAGAGAAGAAAAAUGGCACGUGGGCUGGCGGCUGCUUCCUCAGCCUCCUGACUUACGGCAAUGGGCUCCAGCUCCUCACAACCAGAGGGCAGCAGAAUCCAGGAGGCUGGUGGUGCCUUCUCCACACCCAGAGUGGAUCAGCUCACUACCCACACCUACUCUCAGGGGCCCCAACUUCAAAGACGUGUGGGUUGCUGCCAAAGAUGGAGCAGGAGCUAAUGUCACCAGCCAGGAAGAAUAAUAAGCAAAUGCAUUAACUAAGGCUAAUUAGUCUUCUAUUUUUGUCUCUAAUCAUUUCUUAAAACCAAAAAAGUCAUUAUAGUCAAUUGUGUCUUCAGUGAAAGAUGUACUUGAAUUUCUAUAUGUGGGCUACAUUUUACAUGUCACGCAUCCAGCAGGAUCUUAGACACACUAUGUUUAGAUGGUCACCUGUAAUCUUGCCUAAGUCUUACUUUAGCUAUGAUUAUCCUUCUGAUGAAAAAUAAACAGAACAUAAAUUUCUUCCUUUGUGUUUAUUCUACUAAUAUUUCUUGAGUGCCCACUGUUAUGGUUUGGAUGUGAGGUGUCCCCCCAAAAAAGUUCACAUGUGAGCGAUAUAAGAAGGUUCAGAUGAGAUAUGAUUGGAUUGUGAGAGUCUAAAUCCAAUCAGCAAAUUAAUCGCCUAAUGGGAAUAACUGAGUGGUAACUGAAGUGGUAGGGUGUGGCUGAAGGAGGUAGGAAUUGGGGCAGGGCUUUGGGUUUAUAUUUUGUAUCUGGAGCAUG
This 1302-nucleotide long non-coding RNA is filed under the name Marmota monax (woodchuck). The record is from RNAcentral. Lineage: Eukaryota; Metazoa; Chordata; Mammalia; Rodentia; Sciuridae.